Molecule: ribosomal RNA, 260 nt
Filed under: uncultured prokaryote
Description: partial 16S ribosomal RNA
Rfam family: Bacterial small subunit ribosomal RNA
Source: RNAcentral
UACGGAGGAUGCGAGCGUUAUCCGGAUUUAUUGGGUUUAAAGGGUGCGUAGGGGGCUUUUUAAGUCAGCGGUGAAAUUUUGCAGCUUAACUGUAACAGUGCCGUUGAUACUGGGGAGCUAGGAUUUGGUUGCUGUGGGUGGAAUGUGUGGUGUAAGCGGUGAAAUGCUUAGAGAUCACACAGAAUAUCGAUUGCGAAGGCAGCUCACAAAGCCAAGAUUGACGCUGAGGCACGAAAGUGUGGGGAUCAAACAGGAUUAGA